UGUUUGUAGAUUGGAGCUAUUGGUGACAGACUACAAGGGUUGGUGAUGAAUGUAGAGACUUUGCAAACUCUUGUUAAGUGUUUCAAGAACUAAAGAGAAAGAGCUGCUGCACUCAAGUCACUUCAACAUAAACUUGAGAAAUACAAGACAGAGUUGAACAACUCAUAAGAAUACUCGAGUAUACUUAUAACUUGUUCAUGUUGCACAGAACUAAUUACUUAUAAAUUGAGAUUAUAUUUGUACCAAUCUGAUGAAAUAUAUUUUGAUUAAGUUUGUAAUU
Long non-coding RNA from Humulus lupulus (European hop), 280 nucleotides. RefSeq lists it as uncharacterized. The transcript has 2 exons. The record is from RefSeq and is a predicted model, not a curated record. NCBI's taxonomy places the organism in Eukaryota, Viridiplantae, Streptophyta, Magnoliopsida, Rosales, Cannabaceae.